AUGUCCUUUUAUUUUUCAAUGCAGAUCCUUGUAAGAAACUAUGAAAAUUUAAUGUUUAUAAUGUGAUCUCAAUAGGUUCUUCUAGUAGUAGGCCUCCAUAUGGAUAUAAGUUGGGAUUUGAAGUUCAUGUUAAGUGUCAAAAUAGGUUUAAAAGAGGGAUUUUAGGCUUCUGUUGUUUCAGUAAUAUAUAUGUGUAGCAAGAGCAAAGUUCUAAGGAUUUUCAUUUCAACAAGAAACAUGGCAAGAUGUUAGGUCCUGUUUGGAUUGGAGGAUUUCAAACGAAUGGAUUUGAAAUACCAUGGAUUUAAAAUACCUUGGAUUUGAAAUCCAAACAAUUUAAAAUCACCUAUUUGGAUACAUGAAGAUUUAUACAAAGGAUUUCAAAUCAAAUUCACUGUUUGGCAAAAGAGUAGUGGAUUUAAAUUCUUUAAUUAGUUUUACAAAUAUUUUCAUUUCAUACAAAUGUGAUAUUGCAAUUAUUGAACUUAUGAGAAAUAUCAGUUAAAUUUCAUUAAAUAAUAACACUAUCUAAAAAUAAAAAUAAUAUAUAUAUAUCUCGAGCGGGCAUGGCCGGUUCGAGUCGAGUCAAGCCCAUGGCUUCCCCUUCCCACUCCAAUGCAACAGGCUCACCGGACCGGGGUGCAAAUCACGGCAGAGGCCACAAAAGUUAUCGCCGCCGAGUCCGUGCUGGUUCCACCGGUGAUCAACCGGAGCUAUGUUUCCGGCGAACACGAGCAAGAAUGGUGGCAAAGAGCCCAGCUCGUAAAUCCUCAUCUUCUUCUGAAGCUCCAUCCACUCGACAAUCUUGGUGGUGUAAUCUCCGGCCCUCCAUCUCUGGAGAUCGAUCACCAUAACUCCGGUGUUGAAGUCGCAAGGUUUUCUGUUGGCGAAGGUUAGAGAAAGAGAGAAGGGCUGGACCAGAACGUCGGCGUGAAGUAGGUGGUGAAGUUGGCAUUGCAGUACUCAGGCGCCGCCAGCACGGCCCCGUUCGGGAGCGGCGUUGCCGCGACUUUCGCGAUGUCGUCGACGAGGACGAGGUUGGAGUCGAGGUAGACUACCCGUCCAAGAGAGGGUCUAUGGGCAUCUCACCGCCGUCGAGCGCCGCCGUUGAAGAGGAAUAUUCCCUGCUAAUUCCCUAGCUAGAAGAUCAAUAAUUGAAAAAAUCCCUAAUUUUUUAAGGCUGCUGAGAGAAGUCACGAUGGGUGGAUUUCAAAUGACUAGGUUUGUGGGAGGAUUUGAAAUCCAUUAAAAAAUGGGCUCAAAUCCAUCGAUUUUUAGGUGUAUUUGAAAUCCACUUAUUUAAGUUGUGGCCCAAACGACGUAAUGGAUUUGGACAGUGGAUUUAAAAUCCGUCCUAGCCCAAAUCCGUCCUUCCAAACGGGCUCUUAGAGUUUAUUUUAGGAUUAUGUGUAUCCCUUAUCUUGUUUAUUUUUAGCAUAAGGUAUCGAAUUGAGAUUCUUGGUACCAGG
Molecule: long non-coding RNA, 1469 nt
Filed under: Erythranthe guttata (spotted monkey flower)
Lineage: Eukaryota; Viridiplantae; Streptophyta; Magnoliopsida; Lamiales; Phrymaceae
Description: long non-coding RNA (EGUT_LNC002566)
Source: RNAcentral